This is a non-coding RNA of Ictidomys tridecemlineatus (thirteen-lined ground squirrel), 71 nucleotides long. NCBI's taxonomy places the organism in Eukaryota, Metazoa, Chordata, Mammalia, Rodentia, Sciuridae. The record is from Rfam.
GUGGUUGUGGCUCAGUGGUAGAGUAUUUGCCUAGCAUGCAUGAGAUAUUGGGUUCGAUCCCCGGCACCACA